GAUGAACGCUAGCUACAGGCUUAACACAUGCAAGUCGAGGGGCAGCGGGAUUGAAGCUUGCUUCAAUUGCCGGCGACCGGCGCACGGGUGAGUAACGCGUAUCCAACCUUCCGUACACUCAGGGAUAGCCUUUCGAAAGAAAGAUUAAUACCUGAUGGUAUGAUGAGAUUGCAUGAUAGCAUCAUUAAAGAUUUAUCGGUGUAUGAUGGGGAUGCGUUCCAUUAGGUAGUAGGCGGGGUAACGGCCCACCUAGCCGACGAUGGAUAGGGGUUCUGAGAGGAAGGUCCCCCCACAUUGGAACUGAGACACGGUCCAAACUCCUACGGGAGGCAGCAGUGAGGAAUAUUGGGUCAAUGGACGAGAGUCUGAACCAGCCAAGUAGCGUGAAGGAUGAAGGUCCUACGGAUUGUAAACUUCUUUUAUAAGGGAAUAAACCCUCCCACGUGUGGGAGCUUGUAUGUACCUUAUGAAUAAGCAUCGGCUAACUCCGUGCCAG
Molecule: ribosomal RNA, 496 nt
Filed under: uncultured bacterium
Lineage: Bacteria
Description: bacterial SSU rRNA
Rfam family: Bacterial small subunit ribosomal RNA
Source: RNAcentral